RNA transcript from Rhododendron vialii, 1591 nucleotides. It is a transcript of the gene named protein COFACTOR ASSEMBLY OF COMPLEX C SUBUNIT B CCB4, chloroplastic-like, with no coding region annotated. The transcript is spliced from 9 exons. The record is from RefSeq and is a predicted model, not a curated record. Lineage: Eukaryota; Viridiplantae; Streptophyta; Magnoliopsida; Ericales; Ericaceae.
UGUAAGAGCCUCCACCGUCAUCAGACGAAGAAAUCAAAGAGCAGUUGAAGGGGUACGAUGGAAGCGGGAAAUCUUCUUCUUCGUCGUCCAAUCGUCAUCCGAAUAUUCAACCCCAAACAACCACCACCACCCCCUUCCCUUCCUCCUCGUCUCCCCUCCUCCUUCCCGCCCUCCUUUAGGGUUUCUUCCGACUUACAGCGAGGUUACAGGGGACCGAAGCCGAGAAGGGAAUGGGUGGCAGACUGGGUAUCAAGAAACGACGACGCCGUGCGGAGCUUGCCAAUCUACGUCGGCGCCGUCUCUCUGUUGGCUGUUCUCGUCAAUCGCGGCGUUUCGGGCAUAGCUCCUGUUGCCAAUGCCAGUAGUUCACAGUCUAGAGCAGAUCUAUUGACACUUGGUUUGGCAGUAACAAAUAUUCUGGCAGGACUGGUAUGGCUGUCAAUUCGGCCAAAAACUAUAGUAGCGGUAAGUCCUCAAGGCGUGGAGUGUCUGAGGCUAAAUUCCCAUCUUCCAGAUUUUGUAAUUUCUGAGUUAAUAUGGAGAAGUUUCUCAUAUGUCCUUCACAGGCUGCUUUUUGACAAUCUUUGUACCUUUCCCAGGAUUUGGGAAUCUCUGUCAGCUGCGACUUGCUGCAGAUCUCUAGCUAUUGUUUAUGAUAGCAAACUUAUCCUUCAAACAGGGGUUGCUGCAUCAUCCUCUGCUAACGACAGGGAAGCAGUGCCUAUCGAUGCCAGUACCUUAAUGCAAGGUGCACUCUACCGAAGUGUUUUAGACUCGGGGUCACAGAGCUACUUGGCAAAUCUCUCUCUUUAUCCUGGGAAGUCAGAACUACCAUUUCUGCCUCCUAAUAUGCAGGCGGUCAUCUUGCAACCGCUUGGAGACAAAGGAAUUGCAAUUAUUGGUGGAGAUACGAUUAGGGGAUUUACAACUUCUGACCAGGCAUGGAUUUCGUUACUUGGAGAUAAGUUGGAUGCUACGCUUACAAAAUGUGCAAACAACCUUGCUGUGGCCGUGCAAGAUAGAGACUGAAAUCAACAACUUGUACAUGUAUCUUGAUUUUAUGUCAGCUCAACGUUCCUCGAAGCUUUUCUUCAAUCCAAAGGGAAGAACAAAGUUAACAACAGAACAGACUUAGAAGGAUGAGGAUCAUGGGUUCGAAAGGCAGCCAACCAAUACUUAAUAAGUAGAAGUCACAGGGCUCAUACUAAGAUGAGGAACUAAUGACUGGAACGGUAGGGUAGGGGCAAGAUGAGGAACGAAAGCUAGGGUAUUCUCAGACUGACUUUAGAGGAAAGAAGGAUUCCUUUUAGUACUGAGCCUUGGCUCAAAAGGACCUAAAUGAAGAAGGCUCUGCAAGAAAUCUUGGGAGGCGGUGUUUUCUCGUUCAAUAUUUGUGCAAUUUUGAUGUGCUUCCCAUCUUUAUGUCAGAAAUUCUUCUCGUAGUUUGACUAGAGUUUUAGGUAUACUUCGAAUAUGCAAAAACGCGUCCAUUAUUUCCCGAUCUCCUCCAUUGAUUUUGCUGCUUCUUUCGAUUAUACUCCAAAUAAUUCACUAUUCGGAAUUAAUUUUCUUUAAAAGAUUAGCUACCUAA